This 600-nucleotide ribosomal RNA is filed under the name uncultured bacterium. RNAcentral describes it as "bacterial SSU rRNA". The stretch from base 1 to 516 matches the Rfam family "Bacterial small subunit ribosomal RNA", at positions 338 to 873 of the family's 1533-position model. The record is from RNAcentral.
CCUACGGGAGGCAGCAGUGGGGAAUCUUGCGCAAUGGGCGAAAGCCUGACGCAGCCAUGCCGCGUGAAUGAUGAAGGUCUUAGGAUUGUAAAAUUCUUUCACCGAGGACGAUAAUGACGGUACUCGGAGAAGAAGCCCCGGCUAACUUCGUGCCAGCAGCCGCGGUAAUACGAAGGGGGCUAGCGUUGCUCGGAAUUACUGGGCGUAAAGGGAGCGUAGGCGGAUAGUUUAGUCAGAGGUGAAAGCCCAGGGCUCAACCUUGGAAUUGCCUUUGAUACUGGCUAUCUUGAGUACGGAAGAGGUAUGUGGAACUCCGAGUGUAGAGGUGAAAUUCGUAGAUAUUCGGAAGAACACCAGUGGCGAAGGCGACAUACUGGUCCGUUACUGACGCUGAGGCUCGAAAGCGUGGGGAGCAAACAGGAUUAGAUACCCUGGUAGUCCACGCUGUAAACGAUGAGUGCUAGUUGUCGGCAUNCAUNCAUGUCGGUGACGCAGCUACGCAUAAGACACNCCGCCGUCGGGUAGGUACGGUCGCGAGAAUAAACUAACGAAGAAGUAGACGGCGUGAGACGUGCCGACGGACGACGACGAGGGAGGAGG